This is a long non-coding RNA of Mus musculus (house mouse), 3697 nucleotides long. RefSeq annotates it as predicted gene, 51879. The transcript is spliced from 2 exons. NCBI's taxonomy places the organism in Eukaryota, Metazoa, Chordata, Mammalia, Rodentia, Muridae. The record is from RefSeq and is a predicted model, not a curated record.
UUUUAAGAGCAGACUUUAUUUAUGUAUGUGAGUGUGCAUGGGCUCCAGGACUGCAGGGACCUGCAGAGGGCUGAAGAAGCCUCUGGAGCUGGAGGAAUAGGACACUGAGUUGGGUGUCAGGAACCAGAAGGGACCUCUGCAAGAACAGCACACCCUUAACCUGAGUCACCUCUCCAGCCUCGUUGAAAAGAAAAAAAGAAAGACCGUAUCUCUCAUGUAACCCAGGCUGGCCUCAAAUUCCCUACAUAUCAGAGGAAUGACUUUGAAUUCUGACUCUCCUUCGACCUGGGAUUGCAGGCAUGCAGCAGGUAUAGGCAGUGCUGGGGAUGAAACCCCUUGCUUUGUGCAAGCCUUCUACCAAGUGAACCACAUCCCAUCCAACUCAAUUUUAAAAAAAUUAUUUAUUUAGAGACAGGAUCGUAUUCUGUCGUCCAGGUUGACCUAGUUAGUACGCCACACACAGACCAAGCAAUUCUCCUGGCUCUGUCUAGUCUGGGAUUACAGGUGUGCAAUCACCACUACCAGCCAGGAAAAAAAAUUAAGGGAAGAGACAGACGAAUUUCCGCUCCAUGCUUUCCUUCUCCAGAGCAUAUUAUCACCAAUAAGGUCUGAAAUUCCAUGUUCCCGUAGUGAGGAAGUGACCCACUGGCGGCCCGGUCCUUGAAUUCAGGAUGGAGGAAGUGACUGUCCACCGGCCCAAAGCCAGGAAGUGGAGGCACAUAUUCAGUCCCUCCCCCACCCCUAAAAUUCUCCCUUGGCCUUUCUAGAAAACUUUUGGAAGUCGACCCUGGUAGACCCAGAAACUGAGCCACUCACACCGGUGGCUGGGAAUAAGGCGGCAGAAAGUUCAUGAUGCCGCGGGGCAGGAAGCUGCAAGAUGAUUCGUGAAGGGAUUUACAGGCCCAGCUAAGCCAAUUCUGAAAUUUCCUUCACUCAACUCUUCCCCUCAAGGUGCGGAGCUAUUAAUCUGCUGGCAUCAGAGACUACGCGAGGACUCAACUAGUCUCUAGGAAGACUUGAAGCUGUUCUCCACAGGAGGCAGAGGUCUUUGAGCCUCAGGAAGAACGGUCGGAUGUCUUCCUAUCCACAUCAUAAACUCCACACUCAUACUCUAUCUCUAGGAACCACUCCUCCCAAUCCCAGAGUCCAAAGACACCUUCGAGAACUUUGGGUCUACAGAAAACCUAGAACCCAGGAUAACUCGGAAUCUCAAGUCCUGAACUCUGGAAGACCCUGUACUUCCCAUAUUUCAGAAUCUCAGGUGCCUCGGCUUCCUUAGCCAGGAGACUUGCCCGGUCUGCAGAUCCGAGGAUCCACCUCGCGGGAAUUCGCCCCACGCGCCGGCCGCAAGGAGCCCUCAGUCUUAGAACGACUGCGCUCGGACUUCCAGAGUCCCAAGACCUUCAAGUCCCGAGGGAACCAUUGUGUUCGAUCCUCCCCACCCUGCCAGGCUCUCGCUGAGGAUUCCGGACCCAAGAAAAACCAGACAGCCAGAAACCCGCGAGCGGCGGGCUGGACGGAAUGGGCCCUUCUUACCCGCCAGCGCCGCCAUGGUCCAGGGCGCGGACAACACAGGAAGGACCACCCGGCAGCAGCGCCUCAGGUCCGCGCCCGCCUGCGGUCUAGAGAAGAGGCUGUCUCUGCCCCUGCAGCCGGAAGGAUGCACCGCCUACGGCGCCCUGGGAGGACCAAACCGCACCUGGCACGGGGACCCGCCCCGGAGCCCCUCCCACUUAGGUUAACGACCCGCCCUGCCCCGUCCCGCCUCCCGCGCGAACUCUGCCGCAUCUCUGGCGCCUGCUGGCGACUGGCGACCUCUAGAGGCGUUCGGAUUGACCAGGGUGAUUCAGUUUAGGCUGGAGGUCGCAACACAGGGGACCCUCGGCGCUCAGGGUCUUGAAAUGCAGCCAGACUGAUAUUGAACUUGCCAGCCUCUUGCCUCAGCUUCUUGAGUGCUGAGAUAUUCUUGUUUUAAAUCAUCUCUAGAUUGUUUAUUUAAAAAAAAAAACCAAAAUCUAGAUGUUCUAACAUAGUUAUCUUAUUCUGUGACUAAAAUCAAGAAAGAACCGGACAGUGGUGGCACACGCCUUUAAUCCCAGCACUUGGGAGGCAGAGGGAGGUGGAUUUCUGAGUUCGAGGCCAGCCUGGACUACAGAGUGAGUUCCAGGACAGCCGGGGCUAUACAGAGAAACCGUCUAAAAAAAAAAAAAAAAAAAAAAAAAGACGCAGCACUCUCAGCUCCUUCUCCAUCGCCAUGUCUACCUGUAUUCUGCCAUGCUUCUGGCCGGGAUGAUAGUGAACUAAACUUCUGAACCUGUAAGCCAGCCCCAAAUAAAUGUUGUCCUUUGUAAGAGUUGCUGUGGUCAUAGUGUCUCUUCCCAGCAUUAGAACCCUAACUAUGACACUCGGUUUUAGACAAUUGUUACUUCCCUCCAUCAGAUUUAUGUACAUGGGAAAAGAGUCCAGAGGAUCAGGAAAUGGGUAGGAAUGGAGCCCAAGGAAACCAAUCCUGCCUCCAACUCUCCCAUCAGCUGCCUCUGGCUCUACUACUUAGGUAAACAAAACAGCACAAUUCUCUGUCUUCCUGCAUGGCCUUUUGUUAACAAAAGUGGCUGCUAGUUAGAUGUUUCUUCCGUGGCGCCUUCAUAUGACCUAGGGUGCACAAGUGCUAGGGAGGGGGCUGUACCUGACUUCCUUCCUGGGAACUCACUUGAGCUGCUGGCUUCCCUCUGAGGAGAUAUCUGAUGCGUAGGGAACACUAGAUUAUAUACUGAAUUAGGAAAGAAUUCUUGGGGCUCUUCUGACAAGCUACUUAAUGAUUAGCAGAGAGAGGCCCUGCUGUAUUUUCCCGGGCACAGAGGGAUGGGGACUGGCUUGCUUGCUUCCUGUCCCUCCCUCCACAACUGAGCACCACAUCUGUCCUUCUCCCACUUUUUGCUGACUGCCUUUUCUUCCCACCCUGUCUCUCUUAUAAUCACUGUUUAAAGGGCAGUAUGUGUAAUUUGUAUCUGUUUUUUAAGAUUUAUUUAUUUAUGUAAUGUAUAUGAGAACACUAUUGCUGCCUCAGACACACCAAAAGAGGGCACCAGAUCCCAUUACAGAUGGUUGUGAGCUACCAUGUGGUUGCUGGGAAUUGAACUCAGGACUCCUAGAAGAGCAGCCAGUGCUCUUAACCACUGGGCCAUUUCUCCAGUACCAUGUAGGUUUUUAUUUGUUUGUUAGUUUGUUUUGUUUUUUUAAUUAAAAUUUGGGGGGGACAGUAUGAAACCUUGGCUGGUUUAGAAUUAUGUAGAUCAAGCUGACCUCCUAAGUGCUAAGAUGAAAAGUGUGUAUCACCAUGCCUAGUUCAAAGAAAACUAUUAAAUUAUGCCAUUGUGAACUGAACUGUCUUCCCUAGACUCUUGUGAUGAAGUCCUAUUCCCCAAAGUAUCCCUGCAGCUGAGGGCUUUACAAGGUAACCAGGGUUAUAUGAGGUCAUGGCGAGGCUGUUGUAAUGGGGCAAAUGUGUUCGAGGAAGAGGCACCAGACAGGUCUUAUUCUUGUUUCUUCUGCCUCCUGAAGACACAACAAGAAGACAGCUAUAUGUCAGGCAGCCAUCGAGCCAGCCAUCAGCAGAAAUCAGCCAUACUGGUAGACUGGUCUUGGUGUUACGGCUUCCAGAACUGUAAGGAAUAAAUGGUUCCUACUCAGGCAAAAA